CCCUUAGAUGUUCUGGGCCGCACGCGCGCUACACUGAUGCAUUCAACGAGUCUAAAACCUGCUCUGAUAGGGGUGGGUAAUCUUUUGAAUGUGCAUCGUGAUUGGGAUAGAUGAUUGCAAUUUUUCAUCUUCAACGAGGAAUGCCUAGUAAACGCAAGUCAUCAGCUUGCAUUGAUUACGUCCCUGCCCUUUGUACACACCGCCCGUCGCUCCUACCGAUUGAAUGAUCCGAUGAAUAUCAUAGACUGAGAGUAUAAGCAGGUUCGCCUGUCUUUGCUUCUCGGGAAGGGAAGUAAAUCUUAUCAUUUAGAGGAAGGAGAAGUCGUAACA
This 330-nucleotide ribosomal RNA is filed under the name uncultured eukaryote. RNAcentral describes it as "partial 18S ribosomal RNA". It matches the Rfam family "Eukaryotic small subunit ribosomal RNA", at positions 1470 to 1796 of the family's 1831-position model. The record is from RNAcentral.